UACGUAGGGGGCAAGCGUUGUCCGGAAUCAUUGGGCGUAAAGAGCGUGUAGGCGGCUCGGUAAGUCCGCUGUGAAAGUCCAGGGCUCAACCCUGGAAAGCCGGUGGAAACUGUUGAGCUUGAGUCCGGAAGAGGCGAGUGGAAUUCCUGGUGUAGCGGUGAAAUGCGCAGAUAUCAGGAGGAACACCAAUGGCGAAGGCAGCUCGCUGGGACGGUACUGACGCUGAGACGCGAAAGCGUGGGGAGCAAACAGG
RNAcentral lists this ribosomal RNA (253 nucleotides) under uncultured bacterium. RNAcentral describes it as "partial 16S ribosomal RNA". It matches the Rfam family "Bacterial small subunit ribosomal RNA", at positions 524 to 776 of the family's 1533-position model. The record is from RNAcentral.